Molecule: ribosomal RNA, 423 nt
Filed under: uncultured bacterium
Lineage: Bacteria
Description: bacterial SSU rRNA
Rfam family: Bacterial small subunit ribosomal RNA
Source: RNAcentral
GGAAUAUUGCGCAAUGGGCGAAAGCCUGACGCAGCAACGCCGCGUGGGUGAAGAAGGCCUGCGGGUUGUAAAGCCCUUUCGGUGGGGAAGAAAAGCCUCGACCUAAUACGUCGGGGUCUUGACGUAACCCACAAAAGAAGCACCGGCUAACUCUGUGCCCGCAGCCGCGGUAAUACAGAGGGUGCGAGCGUUAAUCGGAAUUACUGGGCGUAAAGCGCACGUAGGCGGCUCUGCAAGUCGGGUGUGAAAUCCCCGGGCUCAACCUGGGAACUGCAUUCGAUACUGCAUUGCUAGAGUAUGGGAGAGGGAAGUGGAAUUUCCGGUGUAGCGGUGAAAUGCGUAGAUAUCGGAAGGAACACCAGUGGCGAAAGCGACUUCCUGGACCAAUACUGACGCUUAGGUGCGAAAGCGUGGGGAGCAAAC